Molecule: ribosomal RNA, 484 nt
Filed under: uncultured bacterium
Lineage: Bacteria
Description: partial 16S ribosomal RNA
Rfam family: Bacterial small subunit ribosomal RNA
Source: RNAcentral
AUUGAACGCUGGCGGCAGGCCUAACACAUGCAAGUCGAGCGGAUGAAGGGAGCUUGCUCCUGGAUUCAGCGGCGGACGGGUGAGUAAUGCCUAGGAAUCUGCCUGGUAGUGGGGGAUAACGUCCGGAAACGGGCGCUAAUACCGCAUACGUCCUGAGGGAGAAAGUGGGGGAUCUUCGGACCUCACGCUAUCAGAUGAGCCUAGGUCGGAUUAGCUAGUUGGUGGGGUAAAGGCCUACCAAGGCGACGAUCCGUAACUGGUCUGAGAGGAUGAUCAGUCACACUGGAACUGAGACACGGUCCAGACUCCUACGGGAGGCAGCAGUGGGGAAUAUUGGACAAAGGGCGAAAGCCUGAUCCAGCCAAGCCGCGUGUGUGAAGAAGGUCUUCGGAUUGUAAAGCACUUUAAGUUGGGAGGAAGGGCAGUAAGUUAAUACCUUGCUGUUUUGACGUUACCAACAGAAUAAGCACCGGCUAACUUCGUG